This 568-nucleotide ribosomal RNA is filed under the name uncultured bacterium. RNAcentral's name for it is "bacterial SSU rRNA". It matches the Rfam family "Bacterial small subunit ribosomal RNA", at positions 102 to 694 of the family's 1533-position model. The record is from RNAcentral.
ACGGGUGAGUAACACGUGGGAACGUACCCUUUGGUUCGGAAUAACGCUGGGAAACUAGCGCUAAUACCGGAUACGCCCAUGGCCUUUGGCCCUGGGGAAAGGCUUGCUGCCGAAGGAUCGGCCCGCGUCUGAUUAGCUAGUUGGUGGGGUAAUGGCCUACCAAGGCGACGAUCAGUAGCUGGUCAGAGAGGAUGAUCAGCCACACUGGGACUGAGACACGGCCCAGACUCCUACGGGAGGCAGCAGUGGGGAAUAUUGGACAAUGGGCGCAAGCCUGAUCCAGCCAUGCCGCGUGAGUGAUGAAGGCCUUAGGGUUGUAAAGCUCUUUUGUCCGGGACGAUAAUGACGGUACCGGAAGAAUAAGCCCCGGCUAACUUCGUGCCAGCAGCCGCGGUAAUACGAAGGGGGCUAGCGUUGCUCGGAAUCACUGGGCGUAAAGGGCGCGUAGGCGGCCAUUCAAGUCGGGGGUGAAAGCCUGUGGCUCAACCACAGAAUUGCCUUCGAUACUGUUUGGCUUGAGUAUGGCAGAGGUUAGUGGAACUGCGAGUGUAGAGGUGAAAUUCGUAGA